Nerophis ophidion (straightnose pipefish) is the source of this 1529-nucleotide long non-coding RNA. RefSeq lists it as uncharacterized. The record is from RefSeq and is a predicted model, not a curated record. Lineage: Eukaryota; Metazoa; Chordata; Actinopteri; Syngnathiformes; Syngnathidae. The transcript has 4 exons.
ACCUCGCCACCUUGUGGCCACUCAGCGCAUGCGUCAGAGGAUCGUUUGCGCUUUUCCUCUCAGACACGCCCAGGGGCACCAGGUGUUCACCGGAGAACAGAAGAUGGCGUGGACAGUCAUUUAACAAGAAAGUUCAUGGAUUUGGAGCCACAUGGAAUAUUGAAGGACGUUGGCUCUCAGGAAUUUGGUCUCAACAGCUUACGCAGGAUCAAAUAAGAGUUCAGUAGGAUAACAACACUUCAUCUGGAGCAAACCUUUUUGUCAAAACUGGACACACACACUCCUAAACUCCUGGAGAUAUUUAGGACAAAGGGCGGAGUUGCAGACACAAAAAUCAGACCGAUGCUGGAUUCACUUGGCCAGCAAUAUGUUGAAGGCAGAAGAGAUCUCAUCAUACGUUGCCUAAUGGAGUUCCUUGGAGAGGAGCUAAUCAAAGACUGCCAGGCACAUUUUGAAAAUUUGGGAUUUUCUGAUGAUUAUUCUCACCAUAGUAAAUGUAUCUCUUCUCCAACAUAAUACUAUAACCUCUGUUCUUUGUGUAAUAAUGUAUUUCCAUAAAAGUCACAUGUGCCACUAUAUAUGAGGAAAAACAUUUGUAUUCAGAUUAACAAAUAUUAGGCCAUUAACUUAAAUUGGCAAUUAAUUGCAAUGUGUCCCACUUUUUCAACUGGUUCUGAAUCUGAAAUGUUUGAAAAGCAAAUGUUUUGAAAGUAUGAAAAAAUGUAUUUCAAACAACCUUCUGGAUAUUUUAGACAAUCUUGUUGAAAAAAAUGAUGGUUGCCUCAGUGACCCAAGUGUACACUGACAAAUGAAAGUGCAAACCUGGGUUAACCCACACAAAGAUCAUAUAAAAUAAAAUCAAUGGUUACCUAAAUACUUCCCCAGCACUUAACCAAUGCCGUGGUCUCUGUAUGUGUAGGUUAUAUGAACUGGCUGUGUAUAAUAUUGACUCCUGAGCACAGAAUCACGUGUUAUUCACAGGAUGUAGGUGCCUCAGUUCAUCAUGUCAUCAGUGGAAAUGCAGCACAGGAAGGCCACAAUCCUGCCCAUGUGUCAGUCAUCGUCGAAGGAAAAGAGGUUCUGGAUGACUGCAAAACCGUGGCAAAGGCUUGCCUUCUGCUCAUUGGCUUAAUCUACGCCAUGAACUUGAGUUACCCACUGAAACUGAAAUAUACAUUUGAAGUGUUUCAGAAGCUGUUUCUAGAGCUGGAUGUUCUGAAAAUGUCGCCCAAGGUACGGUCUUUGCGAAAUAAACUUCUACUGUGAGUGUUUCCACAGUGUACAUAUGCUGUUCUAGCAUAUAGCUGUUCUUUGUUGUGUGGAAGCAGUACAUGACGCUUGUCAAUGUAACUUGUUGAAAGAUUUUGCUGUUGUGCCUAAAAGUUACAAUUCAGGACAUUUUAUCGGUUUUUUUUUUACCUGUAAUUGUUCGCGUUAUUGUGAAUGUUCUAAAACAAAAAAUCACUGUUUUAUAAUGUUUUGUCUGGUAAUGUUGCUGGAAAAUGUAAUAAAAGUGCUCUUGUUUGAAA